UGCGGGUCACGUUGGACUCAGAUCAGGUGGGCUACCUAGCAGGCAGUAAUGGUCAGCCACUGCUCCCCCAAUACCUGAGUGAUCUAGACAGCGCCCUCAUCCCAGUGAUCCACAGCGGGGCCUGCCAGCUAAGUGAAGGGCCUGUGGUGAUGGAGCUCAUCUUCUACAUCCUGGAGAUCAUCUCCUAAAGUGAGGGAAUCCGUCCAGUCUCAGACUCAUGCCUCCCACCAGCUUGAGUCCCUCUUCGCUCUCUUUCUCUCAUCUGCACUUCAAAGAGCCUGAAAGCUGUGCAGGAACAAGUCCUCCAUACCACCUAUGCACCAUCUCUACUGGGACGCCCUCUGAAUGUGGUGCUCUCUUUCGUUUCUCCUCACCUCUCAACUCCACUGUGGAAACCAUAGGCCCUGUUGAGUCAAAAGGGGUGGCGACCCUGAAUUCGAUCUCUUCAGAACCGUUGUAGCAACACUAAGCUCCUCAAACACAAGAGGGCGCUCUACACACUCAGUCCUAAUGGAGACGAGUGACAGAAGGGAAGGUGUGCACCAUGAAAUGGUUUCUGGUACACAGUGCCUUGGCCUCAUUUAGAAACGAAGAACGAGCUUCAGUCUCGCCUCUAAGCUUUAUGAAUCACCAGAUGCUUUAUUUCAUGAAUAUGGACCUCGUUUUGUUUUAAACUGCUCUAAAGCUAAAAUGAUGUAGCUUCCUCAGAGACGUGCUGCUUGGCAUGGUAGAGGAAAUAUUGUGGAACAGUAUUAGGAAUGUUGACGAUUGAGUUACUGUAGCAAAUGUCAAGAACGGACCUCUGUUAUAGACUUUAUUAUUAUUACAAGACAAUAAGAUCCAACAAUAAUUUCAAGCGGCCUUCGGGAAUUCAACUACAACUUCAAGAUCCACAUAAUGAUAUGGUUGGUUUCAUCAGAUGGCCUACACUUGAUGAAUGAGGACAGCAGCUGAUAUGAAGAUCCACAGCAAGUGAACCUCACAGCCCUUUAUUAACAGGUCAACAGUUGAGACAUAAAGCAUGUGUUUCUGGCUUUUGGUGAAGAGCACAGACAGCUUUGGAAGCACUGUUCAUGAAAAAUGGAAGCUGCAUUGUCUUCCCACUAACACAGCUCAAAACAGCCUUUAGUUACUCCCUGUAUCCACCUUUGUCAUUGGUUUUCUAGAUGUGCAUUAAUGUAUAUCUCGACAUUUCUAUAUUUUGUUAACCAUAGCAUUUUUCCAUGUAAUUGUUUGUUUUUUUUUGGCCGGCCCAAAUCGUGAUACAGCAUGCAUGCUGAAACCAAUGAGAACGUGUAGUUCUCAGAAAAUCUUUGCAUUUCAGAGGACGAGCUGCUUGAAAGAACAGUUUUACAUACUAUUGAUUUGAUCUGUGAUGAAACACUGUUAAAACCUGACAUGGGUGGAAUGGGAAUACAUUUGCAAUGUAUGAAAAGCCAAAAAGAAAAGGGAAAAAUGCAACCUUUCUUUAUUGUACACUACAAAUGUCAAUAAAAGCAGUCUUUAUCAAACCUG
Molecule: long non-coding RNA, 1515 nt
Organism: Sinocyclocheilus grahami
Lineage: Eukaryota; Metazoa; Chordata; Actinopteri; Cypriniformes; Cyprinidae
Exons: 3
Source: RefSeq, a predicted model, not a curated record